RNAcentral lists this long non-coding RNA (208 nucleotides) under Erythranthe guttata (spotted monkey flower). Its description in RNAcentral is "long non-coding RNA (EGUT_LNC001121)". Lineage: Eukaryota; Viridiplantae; Streptophyta; Magnoliopsida; Lamiales; Phrymaceae. The record is from RNAcentral.
UUUAUUAAUCUGUGUGUUGGUAGUCAUGCAAUGUAUUACUAGCUCGUAUUAAAUUAUGCAGAUGAAUAUUUGUUCUCCGUAUGAAGAGUUCUUCUGAAAAAUCUUUAUACUAUCAAACAACUAACGUUAUCAGUGCGUGGUUUUCUUCUGAACUUGUUGGCAGAUAAAGGGCGACGAUUUUGCGGUCAUCGGUUCAUCAUGCUGCCAC